AACGAACGCUGGCGGCAUGCCUAACACAUGCAAGUCGAACGAGACCUUCGGGUCUAGUGGCGCACGGGUGCGUAACGCGUGGGAACCUGCCCUUAGGUUCGGAAUAACUCCCCGAAAGGGGUGCUAAUACCGGAUAAUGUCUUCGGACCAAAGAUUUAUCGCCUUUGGAUGGGCCCGCGUUGGAUUAGCUAGUUGGUAGGGUAAAAGCCUACCAAGGCGACGAUCCAUAGCUGGUCUGUGAGGAUGAUCAGCCACACUGGGACUGAGACACGGCCCAGACUCCUACGGGAGGCAGCAGUGGGGAAUAUUGGACAAUGGGCGCAAGCCUGAUCCAGCAAUGCCGCGUGAGUGAUGAAGGCCUUAGGGUUGUAAAGCUCUUUUACCCGGGAUGAUAAUGACAGUACCGGGAGAAUAAGCUCCGGCUAACUCCGUG
RNAcentral lists this ribosomal RNA (433 nucleotides) under uncultured bacterium. RNAcentral describes it as "partial 16S ribosomal RNA". It matches the Rfam family "Bacterial small subunit ribosomal RNA", at positions 29 to 507 of the family's 1533-position model. The record is from RNAcentral.